GCUUAUCUUGUAAUCUUUGAUACUGGGGAGGCUGAGGCUGAUGAAUUUUGUGAGCUUGGUAGCUUUGAGCUGCUGUGUGCUAAUAUGUCCAAACUAAGUUAGACACCAGUAUGUUGAAUCUCCCAGGACUGGACCCAUCUAUCUGCCUGAGGAGGGGUGAACUGGCCCAGGUUGGAAAUGGAGCAGGUCAAAGCUCCCAUGCUGAUCAGGAGUAGGAUUGGGCCUUUAAGUGGCUGCUACACUUCUAUCCUGAGCAAAAUAGGGAGACUCAA
Molecule: signal recognition particle RNA, 272 nt
Filed under: Vombatus ursinus (common wombat)
Lineage: Eukaryota; Metazoa; Chordata; Mammalia; Diprotodontia; Vombatidae
Description: Metazoan signal recognition particle RNA (ENSVURG00010015738.1)
Rfam family: Metazoan signal recognition particle RNA
About the family: The signal recognition particle (SRP) is a universally conserved ribonucleoprotein.
Source: Rfam by way of RNAcentral